RNAcentral lists this ribosomal RNA (253 nucleotides) under uncultured prokaryote. RNAcentral's name for it is "partial 16S ribosomal RNA". It matches the Rfam family "Bacterial small subunit ribosomal RNA", at positions 524 to 776 of the family's 1533-position model. The record is from RNAcentral.
CACGUAGGGGGCGAGCGUUGUCCGGAUUUAUUGGGCGUAAAGGGCUCGUAGGUGGCUCGUCGCGUCUGCCGUGAAAACGAGGGGCUUAACUUCUCGCUUGCGGUGGAUACGGGCGGGCUAGAGGCAGGUAGGGGAGAGUGGAAUUCCUGGUGUAGCGGUGAAAUGCGCAGAUAUCAGGAGGAACACCGGUGGCGAAGGCGGCUCUCUGGACCUGUUCUGACGCUGAGGAGCGAAAGCGUGGGGAGCGAACAGG